Molecule: ribosomal RNA, 253 nt
Filed under: uncultured bacterium
Lineage: Bacteria
Description: partial 16S ribosomal RNA
Rfam family: Bacterial small subunit ribosomal RNA
Source: RNAcentral
UACGUAGGGUGCGAGCGUUGUCCGGAAUUAUUGGGCGUAAAGAGCUCGUAGGCGGUCUGUCGCGUCUGCUGUGAAAAUCCAGGGCUCAACCCUGGACCUGCAGUGGGUACGGGCAGACUAGAGUGCGGUAGGGGAGAUCGGAAUUCCUGGUGUAGCGGUGAAAUGCGCAGAUAUCAGGAGGAACACCGGUGGCGAAGGCGGAUCUCUGGGCCGAUACUGACGCUGAGGAGCGAAAGCGUGGGGAGCGAACAGG